UUGUUGGAGAGUUUGAUCCUGGCUCAGGACGAACGCUGGCGGCGUGCUUAAUACAUGCAAGUCGAACGAGGUCCAUCCGAUCUUCGGAUUGGUGAAGACCUAGUGGCGAACGGGUGCGUAACACGUGAGAAACCUGCCCCGGUCUCUGGAAUAACAGUUGGAAACGGCUGCUAAUACCGGAUGCCGUCGGACCAUCGCAUGGUGGACCGACGAAAGGGUUACCGGACCGGGAGGGUCUCGCGGCCUAUCAGCUUGUUGGUGAGGUAACGGCUCACCAAGGCAUCGACGGGUAGCUGGUCUGAGAGGAUGAUCAGCCACACUGGGACUGAGACACGGCCCAGACUCCUACGGGAGGCAGCAGUAGGGAAUAUUGCAC
Molecule: ribosomal RNA, 376 nt
Filed under: Acidimicrobiaceae bacterium
Lineage: Bacteria; Bacillati; Actinomycetota; Acidimicrobiia; Acidimicrobiales; Acidimicrobiaceae
Description: bacterial SSU rRNA
Rfam family: Bacterial small subunit ribosomal RNA
Source: RNAcentral